RNAcentral lists this long non-coding RNA (4725 nucleotides) under Brassica napus (rape). RNAcentral's name for it is "long non-coding RNA (BNAP_LNC016080)". Lineage: Eukaryota; Viridiplantae; Streptophyta; Magnoliopsida; Brassicales; Brassicaceae. The record is from RNAcentral.
ACCAUCUUCAUUGGAAAUAAGAUUGCAAAGCUUGACAUGGAUGUCAUUCAGCUGAGCGGUGGUUCUCGCAUUCCGGUGUAUCUAGACUUCAGUGUGCUUGUUGGUUUUGAAAGUGGGCCGCGACCUGAUCUACGACUUGACUUGCAUCCUUACACGGACAGUGGCCCAAAGUAUUACGAUGCUAUUCUCAAUGGCGUAGAGAUCCUCAAGCUUAGUGUCUCUGGCGGAAAUCUUGCUGGACCUAAUCCUAAUCCUACGUCAGGUCUUACUCCAAACUCUGUAAAUCAAGAUAUACAAAAACCCAAAGCCAAGUCACACGUUUUGGUAAUAACACUUGGAACUGUUGGGUUUGCAAUUGUGUUAGCAAUGUUUAUUGUUGUUGUCAUCGUCAUGAAGAGGAGGAAGAAGAAAAAGAAGGUUAAUGUAGACACCAAGAGCAAGCCUACGGACUCGUGGACUACUCUUCCGCUUGUUGCCGGGUCCUCCCAUACCAGAUCGACCACAUCUCUUCCAUCCGAUCUCUGCCGUCGGUUCUCCAUCCUCGAGAUCAAAUCCGCCACAAACAAUUUCGAGAAAAAGCUGAUCGUUGGAGUAGGCGGGUUUGGUCCUGUCUACAAAGGAAGAAUCGACGGUGGAGCCACGCUUGUGGCUGUUAAACGGUUAGAUGUUUCAUCCAACCAAGGCGCUACCGAGUUCGAAGCAGAGCUCAAGAUGCUCUCGGUGCUCCGUCAUAUACAUCUCGUUUCCUUAAUCGGAUAUUGCGACGAUGUUCCUCUCUCUCUCUCUCUCUCUCUCUCUCUCUCUCUCUCUCUCUCUCUCUCUCUCACGAAACGUACAACUAGUUAAACUGGUACAACUAUUAGCAGUUGUACAACAAAUAAUUGCUUGGCUACAACAGCGACAAAAAUGCUAGCGACAACGACUACGAAGAAACCAUCUACGAAGAAAGAAGCGACGAAGAAAGCAACAGUGAGGGAAGCAGAAACGAGGGAAACGAAAACGAGGGAAGUGAUAAAUGAGUUUUGCUUAUGUGUUAUGAACAUUGCUUAUGUGUUGUGGAACUUAUUCAUGUGUUAGGGAUGCUAUUUAUGUGUUUUUAAACUUUGCAAUGGAGAAAAUUUGUAAUGUAUUGUUUCUGUCAGAUAUUACUGGUACAAUUGGUACUUCAUAUAAUACACAUUCAUGUUUAUGUGUUAUAACACUGGAAAAACUAGUACAACUAUACAAGUUGUAAAGUCUUUAGAAUGGUACAUCCUAACUAUUAGAAGUUUUAUCAAAAAAAAUCCGCAAUUAUAAACAAUCACAUAAGUUUCCAUUAUUUACCUUAUAAUUUAAAGGUUUGUUUACUUGUUUGUUCACUAUAUUUUUGAAAAAUAUACACUGGAUAUAUUUUAACAAAGUUAAUGAUUCCAUAGUAUGUGAUUCUAGGUAUUUAAAUAUAUACAAGUAGUACAACUGAUGUAUCUUUAUUUAAUAUUUGGUACAACUAGAUAUUUCAAAUUCUGGACCAAAAUACAACUAUGUACAAACUUGUACAACCCAAAACUCGGUACAACUAUGUAUACGAUUGUACAACUAAAAUAUUGGUACAACUACAUGUUAAUAAAUUUGGCACAUUUUAAUUGUUUACCACAUUUAAAUGCUCACUACGUUUUAAACAUGAUAGUUUUACCUUCUUUCGUUUAGUUGUACAAAUUGUACCCGUCAGAGUAAUUUUGUCAUAGUUAAUCUGGUUAAUUUAAUUAUACCAAAAACCUGUCAAGUUUAAACCUUUUGAAUUAACCCUAAAAACUUUUAAAUGUGCACUUUAACCUAUAUGGUAUUAUGCAUAUGCAAUAGAAACAUUUAGAUUCAUCUUAAAUAGUUUAAAUGUCUAAAAAAUGUUAAAAUGUAUUAAAUUCAUGAGAUAUAAAUAUUUCAUGUUUUAAACAUGAUUUUGUAUCAUUCAUUUAUUUUCUGGUAAAACCAUUCAUUUACUGGUAAAACUGGCAUAACAUUACAUUGUAUCCAAAAUUGUAUUUCUAGUAUAACUGUCAUUUCAAAAUUGAGAAAAUAGUGUGGGUUAUUGGUUAUACUAUUUUGAUAGAUUUACAAUUUUUUUAGAUUUAGAAAUCUUUGAUAAAUCCAUGAUUUUUAAAUCAAACAAGUGGAUUUUAAGAAUAAUUUAUGUAUUGCAAAAUCUAAAUAGAUUACUACCCAAUGUUAAAACAACAUAACUCAAGUUCUAGCACAAUUAAACUAGUAAUACUACUAUUGUAUCUAAACUAGUUGUACCACUUAUAUUAUUAUUGUCGUAGUCCAAACACCAAACAUGAAUGUUUAUGCAUCAUUUUCGAACUCAAAAAUGAUUUUUACAUAUUCCUUUGCACUUUGUUCUACUAAAUCUUCAUCUACUGUAAUUUUUUUCUAGCUUGCCAUCCACCGUCUUCGGCUUCGGAAGCAAAAAGAUGAAGAUGCAUAUUUUUUUGAAAAUAGUACAACUAGUAUAACUAGUACAACUUGCAAAUAAAUCAUUAUUAAAAUCAAAUAUUAUUGAAAAUUUACUAUUCAUGUAUUUUGACACAUGCAAGCGGGGAAGGUUAGAUCAACAUGUCUCAUUGGUUUCACAUCAUCCACUUUUCUAGCAUCACUCAUAUGCUGAAAUAAAAACGAAAUAUUGUCAUACUAAUUACAAAGUUAUACUAGUUAUACGCGUUUUAGUUGUACCAGUUAUACUUAAUGUAUUAGUACUAGUUAUAUUUGUUUUAGUUGUACUAGUUAUACUAGUGCGCGUUGUACUAGUUGUAUUAGUUAGAGUCAUACUAGUUGUACUGUACGCUGGGUUUUUUUUUGUCAUGAAUUUCGUGAGAAAAAAAUAAAAUUCAAUUUUUGAUAAGACAUAAUUGGUUACAUACAACUAUGGGUUGACCAAUUUUGGAUAAGAAAAAGAAAGUUAGUGAAUAUUUGAAGGAAAUUUUUGAUUUUUUAAAGGUGAAAGAAACAUCCAUGGAAAAAUAAAAAAAAGGAAGAAGAAAAAGAUGUUAUGUUGAUAACGAUGUGUGUCCCAGAAUUUGAUCCCAUAGAAUCGUAGAAACCGUGUUAUGUUGCAUCAUUUUAAAGUGGAAUGACACACGAACAAGUUGGACGUAUAACGACAAGGUGCUAAAUUAAAAGACAUGGAAGAAGUUUCGUCGGAAACUUCUUCUUUUGCUUGAGCUGAAAAGUCAGUUAAGGGUUGACCCGUUGACUUACUCACCACCACCCAUGGUUUUGCUUCAGUUUCUUAUCUUCUUCUUUACCAUUCACAAUAUCAUUCAACAACUCUCACUCUAUCAGUUCCUAUGACUUUUCAAGUUUUCUUAAUCUUCUCCAUUCUCGUUUCUACAGCCAUAGCAGGAGACGGUGCAACCGCUGCGUACGUUCCCACUGAUAUCUUUCUCUUCAACUGUGGCGAAACAUCCAACCAGAUGGACAUAAGUGGCCGUAACUGGAUGGCAGAGCAACCAAAUAUUCUUCCGUCAAAUGCAGCCAUAGCGUCGUUUGUUUCACAUGCGUCAUUCCAAGGAUCGGGAGUUCCUCAGGUUCCGUACAUGACUGCUCGAAUUUUCCGACAUGAUUUCACCUACAGUUUUCCCGUGUCUCCGGGCUGGAAGUUCCUCCGGUUAUACUUUUACCCUACCCGUUACAGUUCCGACCUCGAAGCUGCCGUAAACUCCUACUUCUCUGUCACCGUCAACGGUUUUACUCUCUUGAAGAACUUCCGUGCCGAUUUAACGGCAAAGGCUUCUCAUGAUGCGUCCAUAUUUAAGGAGUUCAUAGUCCCUGUUUCGAGUGGAUACACGAUGCUAAAUCUCACGUUCUCACCUUCUUUAAACAUGUUAGCUUUCGUGAACGGCAUCGAGAUUGUCUCCAUGCCUGAUCGGUUUUACUCCAAGGGAGGCUUCGACGACAAAAUAAAACAGGUAGGUAAUAGCAUUGACUUCGAGAUAAACAACAGCACGGCUUUCGAAACUGUUCACCGGCUAAACAUCGGUGGACAACUGAUUGACGGCAUAAGUGAUACAGGGAUGUUCCGGCCGUGGCUUGCUGAAAAGUUUCAACUAAGUGAAAAGUCGGGAAUCGUGCCAGUCGUUCCGGGUGUAAAGAUCAACUACAUGGAGAAUACUCCAGCGUAUGUCGCGCCGGAAGAUGUGUACACGACGUACCGUACAAUGGGUAACGCCGAGCAUCCUAGGCUGAACCAGAACUUCAAUCUGACAUGGCUCUUCCCAGUUGAUGCCGGGUUUAACUACCUCGUCAGGCUUCAUUUCUGUGAGACUCUAUCGGAUGUGAACGGACCGGGCCAACGUGUCUUCACCAUCUUCAUUGGAAAUAAGAUUGCAAAGCUUGACAUGGAUGUCAUUCAGCUGAGCGGUGGUUCUCGCAUUCCGGUGUAUCUAGACUUCAGUGUGCUUGUUGGUUUUGAAAGUGGGCCGCGACCUGAUCUACGACUUGACUUGCAUCCUUACACGGACAGUGGCCCAAAGUAUUACGAUGCUAUUCUCAAUGGCGUAGAGAUCCUCAAGCUUAGUGUCUCUGGCGGAAAUCUUGCUGGACCUAAUCCUAAUCCUACGUCAGGUCUUACUCCAAACUCUGUAAAUCAAGAUAUACAAAAACCCAAAGCCAAGUCACACGUUUUGGUAAUAACACUUGGAACUGUUGGGUUUGCAAUUGUGUUAGCAAUGUUUAUUGUUGUUGUCAUCGUCA